CACACACUCACUCACUCACUCUACUGCCAUUACUGAGUCUGCUGAGUUGAGUGAUUCAUCGGCGACUUCCAAACCCUAGCUGCUGUGGUUUCGAGAUAGAGACAACUCUCGGCCGGCGAAUCAUCUCUGAGCUGUUCGAAUUCAAAUGCGAAGAUUGCUAAUUUCUGGGACAAGAGUAUGAGAACUGAAGCUCAGAUAUUUGGAUCUUUUAAAUUUGUAUCUGGAGACAAUGCAGGUCUGAGAGAAGGUAUUCAUCAUUGAUGCUUUGCACACA
Non-coding RNA from Coffea arabica (coffee), 274 nucleotides. NCBI's taxonomy places the organism in Eukaryota, Viridiplantae, Streptophyta, Magnoliopsida, Gentianales, Rubiaceae. The record is from RefSeq and is a predicted model, not a curated record.